GUGGGGAAUCUUCCGCAAUGGACGAAAGUCUGACGGAGCGACGCCGCGUGAGUGAAGAAGGCCUUCGGGUCGUAAAGCUCUGUCAUCAGGGACGAACGGCCGGUGGAGUGGAAAGCCACCGGAUUGACGGUACCUGAGAAGGAAGCCACGGCUAACUACGUGCCAGCAGCCGCGGUAAUACGUAGGUGGCAAGCGUUGUCCGGAAUUAUUGGGCGUAAAGCGCGCGCAGGUGGGAUCUUACGUCCAUUUUGAAAGUUCGGAGCUCAACACCGUGAUGGGAUGGAAACUGGGAGUCUUGAGUAGCGGAGAGGAAAGCGGAAUUCCCCGUGUAGCGGUGAAAUGCGUAGAUAUGGGGAGGAACACCAGUGGCGAAGGCGGCUUUCUGGACGGUGUCUGACACUGAGGCGCGAAAGCUAGGGGAGCGAACGGGAUUAGAUACCCUUGUAGUCC
Molecule: ribosomal RNA, 450 nt
Filed under: uncultured bacterium
Lineage: Bacteria
Description: partial 16S ribosomal RNA
Rfam family: Bacterial small subunit ribosomal RNA
Source: RNAcentral